GGCCAAGGCAGGUCCUCCUCGCUGGGCUGCUAGUGGACGAGGGCGCUGGGCCAAGACUCCAGGUGUGCGAAGGACCCACAGGAGGCGCCUGGUGAUGGCCGCAGACCAACAAGUCUCCUGGUGAUAGGUGCAGACUGGGCUCUAACUCCCCGAGCAUCUUGUAGCACAAGCCGAGCCUCUUCGGAGCCCACUGGUCUUGAGCCCCUGGCGCUGGCUAACCUCGCUGCCCAGGAGAACCCGCGGCAGAGAGCGGCGUCCAGGUAGCAGCGCUCGGCUCUCACCUGCUUAGCCUGCGUUGUCUCCUCACGGCCUGUGGUUGUUGCUGUCCACUUACUCAAACGAGGCAAAGUUUCCUUUUAAAAGAUGAGAACCGAGGGCAAAGAAAACCAGGGCUCGGUCCACUGGGAGAGCUCGCGGGGGCCGACUGUCUUCAGCCCCACAUGUUGGAAUGUGAGAAGUCAGGUGUCACCCUGGGCGUGAGCGGCGCUCCUCCAGGCUGUUUGUGGGGUGCGGGUCUGUGCACCUUGUCCAGGCUUGACCUGCACGCGCCCCUGCUUGCACCGUUCCCCUUUGAGGGACUGAACAGAAUGGAGCUUGCAAAGCCCGAGAAGCCAUGCAAUGCUCGUUGCAGCAGGGCUUGUGACGGCAGUGAGACACAACCCUGAGUAAAAACAGGACGAAACUGACCAGAGGGCCCUUCCUCAGGUGUGACCGCACGGCCAGGUGUGGGAGAGAAGGAGGGAAGACGCACUACCAUUUCUAACUUGCAGAGCAAAGCUCCUGUGUGGUGCUUUUGUAAGAACACACAGGACACAGGUGACCGUGUUGCCGCUGGUCCUCAGAACUGGGCAGGAGACGAAGCGGAUGGCCUGGCUCUUACUUUGCGUUCCCUGGACUUUCCCCAUGUGCAUAUCCUAUUUCUAAAACUCAGGGAAAGCGGCGGGAUGGUGCUGACUCGGUCAGACUCCGGCUGUGCCUCCUGAGGCAAGGAAGGGGCCAGUUCACUCAAACUCCAGUAGACAGAACCUGCAGCCGGUACAUCCAGAGCCCGGGGCCCAGGGAGUGUAG
This 1068-nucleotide long non-coding RNA is filed under the name Marmota monax (woodchuck). The record is from RNAcentral. Lineage: Eukaryota; Metazoa; Chordata; Mammalia; Rodentia; Sciuridae.